GGCGGCUCCCAGCGGCCUGCUCGCUCGGAAAUGGGGGGAAGGGUGAGGGUCGGCCGUCGCCAAGCCCCAGGGGCCUACGCGCAGUAGGCGAAAAACGCCGCCUCCCCGUUAACGAUGGUCAAACACCAGCGCGGCCCCCGCAUCGCCUCACAACUCCCUGUGUUCGCGUCUCACCUGCCCGUUGGGAAACGGACCGAGGCGAGUGUCCGAGCCGGGCCACGGCCGCGAUGUCGCUCUCCCUGGGCCGCAGUGCAGCCAUGGGGGAAAGCAGAGACCGCGUUCGGGAUUGGUCUCCGCACCGUGGGUGUUCGCUGAACUUUGAAACCCUCUUUUCUGGUUCACUCUUGUCAUCUGCCAGUGGAGGGCGAUACUUGGAAAACUGCCUCGUCUGGAACAGCAGAAAACUGCAAGGCCUGUGAAGAACUCUGAAUUGGAUUGAGAAGGAGAGCACUGCUGUGACUCCAUCUUCAGCUGAGGAUGGUAGAAAAGGAACUUAGGGAGGAUCGCGCUAUGCAUGCAUCUAAUGGACUAAAACAGUGCGAGACAGCAACUGCACAUGUGUGGUGCAGGAAGGCACUGCUAGGCAAAAUCUCCAAUCAGCAGCACGAAGGUGCGCCAAGACAUCAGUGGAGCACCCACAGGAACACCGCUAGAACUAAGGUCCACUGCAAGUUGGUGGGAAGGAGCAUCAAUACCAUAUCAAGAAGGUGAAGAAAGGAAGAGAUUUAACAAGAAAGUUUUGUAGCAACAUUUAGCAAAUUUGAGCUACAGAAACAAAAACACUAAGGGUACGUCUAGACUACAUGGCUCUGUCGACGGAUGUAGAUUUGUUUGUUUGGCAAAGGGAAAUGAAAUUUAAAUGGCUGCCCCACUCUGCCGAUCAGCUGUUUGUCGGCAGAUCGGGGAAGUCU
Pelodiscus sinensis (Chinese soft-shelled turtle) is the source of this 911-nucleotide long non-coding RNA. RefSeq lists it as uncharacterized. The record is from RefSeq and is a predicted model, not a curated record. Lineage: Eukaryota; Metazoa; Chordata; Testudines; Trionychidae.